This 366-nucleotide unclassified non-coding RNA is filed under the name uncultured Dothideomycetes. Its description in RNAcentral is "sequence contains ITS2". The stretch from base 1 to 154 matches the Rfam family "5.8S ribosomal RNA". The record is from RNAcentral. Lineage: Eukaryota; Fungi; Ascomycota; Dothideomycetes.
AACUUUUGGCAAUGGAUCUCUUGGUUCUGGCAUCGAUGAAGAACGCAGCGAAAUGCGAUAAGGAGUGUGAAUUGCAGAAUUCAGUGAAUCAUCGAAUCUUUGAACGCACAUUGCGCCCUUUGGUAUUCCUUAGGGCAUGCCUGUUCGAGCGUCAUUUAAACCUUCAAGCUCAGCUUGGUGUUGGGUGUCUGUCCCGCCUCGGCGCGGACUCGCCUUAAAUUCAUUGGCGGCCGGUACAUUGGCUUCGAGCGCAGCAGAAACGCGAACUCGGAGACUUUGGAUCAGCUCCCAGAAGCUAUUUUCUAUUUUUGACCUCGGAUCAGGUAGGGAUACCCGCUGAACUUAAGCAUAUCAAUAAGCGGAGGC